CCCUUAGAUGUUCUGGGCCGCACGCGCGCUACACUGUUCGACGCAGCGAGUCUUAACCUUGACCGAAAGGUUUGGGUAAUCUUCAGCAAAGUCGAACGUGAUGGGGAUCGAUCAUUGCAAUUAUUGAUCGUGAACGAGGAAUUCCUAGUAAGUGCAAGUCAUCAGCUUGCGCUGAUUACGUCCCUGCCCUUUGUACACACCGCCUGUCGCUACUACCGAUUGAAUGGUUUAGUGAGAUCUCUGGAUUGACGCUGGCUAGGGGGCGACCCUUGGCCAGGCUGUCGAGAAACUGCUCAAACUUGAUCAUUUAGAGGAAGUAAAAGUCGUAACA
Molecule: ribosomal RNA, 331 nt
Filed under: uncultured eukaryote
Lineage: Eukaryota
Description: partial 18S ribosomal RNA
Rfam family: Eukaryotic small subunit ribosomal RNA
Source: RNAcentral